UACGGAGGGGGCAAGCGUUAUUCGGAAUGAUUGGGCGUAAAGGGCGCGUAGGCGGCUAGAUGUGUCAAAGGUGAAAUCCCUCGGCUCAACUGAGGAACUGCCUUUGAAACUGUCUGGCUUGAGGCCGGGAGAGGGUAGCGGAAUUCCCAGUGUAGCGGUGAAAUGCGUAGAUAUCGAGAGGAACACCUGCGGCGAAGGCGGGUAGCUGGGCCGACACUGACGCUGAGGCGCGAAAGCCAGGGGAGCGAACGGG
Molecule: ribosomal RNA, 253 nt
Filed under: uncultured bacterium
Lineage: Bacteria
Description: partial 16S ribosomal RNA
Rfam family: Bacterial small subunit ribosomal RNA
Source: RNAcentral